Transfer RNA from Exophiala oligosperma, 88 nucleotides. It matches the Rfam family "tRNA". Rfam says of the family: Transfer RNA (tRNA) molecules are approximately 80 nucleotides in length. The record is from Rfam. Lineage: Eukaryota; Fungi; Ascomycota; Eurotiomycetes; Chaetothyriales; Herpotrichiellaceae.
GGCCGACUGGCCCAAUGGCAAGGCGCUUGACUACGAUACACAAACGUGUGCAAUCAAGAGAUUGCAGGUUCGAUCCCUGCGUCGGUCA